This is a long non-coding RNA of Thunnus maccoyii (southern bluefin tuna), 1320 nucleotides long. RefSeq lists it as uncharacterized. The transcript has 3 exons. Lineage: Eukaryota; Metazoa; Chordata; Actinopteri; Scombriformes; Scombridae. The record is from RefSeq and is a predicted model, not a curated record.
CUCCCCCCCGCCUAUCCAGACCACUCACCUGGGCGAGUGUUUGUGAGUGUAUAGGUGAGACGUGUGUGUCUUUAUAUCUGGAGGGAACAGGUAAAGAGCAUGUUGAGUUUGGAAACGGUGACUGAAGAUGGAGGCGGAUGAAUUGGUUCCGAAAAGAAACGGCACUGGAUCCAUCAUCUGGAAGUGGUUUGGGUAUCGCAAGGAAGAUGUUGAACAAACAACAGUUAUCUGCGGAAUAUGCAGCAAAGCCACGGUAGCGGUAGCGGUACUACAGAGUUGUUUCACCAUUUGAAAUGUCGUCCACUACAAAACAAAGAAUGCCUGAAACAUCCCAUGUCCGCAUCUUCACCACCCACAUCAAAUAAAAUGCCAAAGCAUCCAGCACAGAAGCAAAUGACUCUGGCUUCUUUGUUUGCCCAAUCAAUCCCAUAUGACAAAAAAAGUCCAAAAUGCUGGGAGUUGAAGAGUUCAUGCCAGAUGAUCAUACAGGCAAGAUCACCGCACAAGCAUCUUGGCAACCCAAGAGGAUGCUACUCCACUGACCAAGUCUAUCAGAGUCUCCAUCCUGUAUUAUCUCAGGGAGAAAUUUGCUGACUCUGCUGGCAACAACCUGCUGGACUUGGCAUCAUUAGUGGAUCAAAACAACAUACAUUGCAGAAGAAAAAGUGGAGGAAAUCAAGUGCGGAGCCAUAGCGGAGAUGCUGUCUGACCAGGGCACAGCUGAGUCAGCUGCUUCACAGCCUCAUGAAGCACCAACCGUAUCAGAGCCUGAAAAACCUGAAAAAAAUUGGCAAAGAAGCAUCUGUGUGUUCCUGCCACCAGUUUCCCAUUGGGAGGGGUAUUUAGUACCAGUGGGAAUAUAGCUACAUGCCACUGGGCAUCUCUCAGGCCAGAAACUGGUGAUAGGCUUCUGGCACAAAACCUCUAGACAACCUGUUGGUACACACACACAUAAACACUCACUCUCCUGUCCUGUGAUGUGACUGUUAUUGUUAUGCAGAGUGAUUUGUCACAGUGACAGCCUGGACCAGUGUGUCUGUGGUUAACACAGUAUGCUAUUUGUAUUUUUAAAUUACCUGCUGUCACAAACUUCAUGCACAAAAAGUACACUUUAAUUUAUGUUGUUUUGAAAUGUCUCUCUCAGGGUUUCUUGUUGAAUGCACUUUUUUGUUUCUCUGAGCUCCGUUUCUGUUAAGGCUCUUUGAGAACUAGGUCACAGUAUGUAGUCCUACAUCAUGCCAUUAUUUUUCAUUUAACAGCUGUUAAAAGCCUGCGUGUGCAGCUGCUUGGUUUGAAUAAAUACUGUUUUGUUAAAUUUAA